Molecule: ribosomal RNA, 254 nt
Filed under: uncultured bacterium
Lineage: Bacteria
Description: partial 16S ribosomal RNA
Rfam family: Bacterial small subunit ribosomal RNA
Source: RNAcentral
CACGUAGGGUGCGAGCGUUGUCCGGAAUUAUUGGGCGUAAAGAGCUCGUAGGCGGUGUGUCGCGUCGGCCGUGAAAACCUGCAGCUUAACUGUGGGCGUGCGGUCGAUACGGGCAUCACUGGAGUUCGGCAGGGGAGACUGGAAUUCCUGGUGUAGCGGUGAAAUGCGCAGAUAUCAGGAGGAACACCGGUGGCGAAGGCGGCUAUCUGGACCGACAUUGACGCUGAGGCGCGAAAGCGUGGGGAGCAAACAGG